Molecule: long non-coding RNA, 574 nt
Filed under: Pongo abelii (Sumatran orangutan)
Lineage: Eukaryota; Metazoa; Chordata; Mammalia; Primates; Hominidae
Description: lincRNA
Source: RNAcentral
CAGCCAUGGCACUAGCGAGCAGGCUCAUCAGAGCUGCUGCAUUCUUCUGGAAGCUGCAGAGAAAGGGAGCCCGGAAACCUGGUAUGCCAGCAAAAAGGAUGCAGUUUUGCUCUUGUCGCCUAGGCUGGAGUGCAAUGACAUGAUCUCAGCUGACUGCAACCUCUGCCUCCCCGGGUUCAAGCCAUUCUCCUGCCUCAGCCUCCUGAGCAGCUGGGAUUACAGUUUAUAAUCAGAUAUAAGUCUCUUGGGGAAUCUGACCUCAUACCUCAUCUACACAGUUCCUGUACGAGGUUCCUGACCUGUGGUCUUUAGAUGAACUUUUCAACCAACUGCCAAUCAGAAAAUCUGUGAAUCCACCUGUGAUCUGGAAGCCCUUGCUUCCUGGUGUCCCACCUUUCCAGUCUGAACUGAUGUACAGCUUAAAUGUAUUGAUUGAUGCCUUAUGCCCCAUAGAAUGUAUAAAACCUAGCUGUGCCCUGACCACCUGGGCCACACGUUCUCCGGGUCUCCUGAGGACUGUGUCAUGGACCACGAUCACUCACGUUUGGCUAGGAAUAAAUCUCUCCAAUGUUUU